UGGGGAAUAUUGGACAAUGGGCGAAAGCCUGAUCCAGCAAUGCCGCGUGAGUGAUGAAGGCCUUAGGGUUGUAAAGCUCUUUUACUAGGGAUGAUAAUGACAGUACCUAGAGAAUAAGCUCCGGCUAACUCCGUGCCAGCAGCCGCGGUAAUACGGAGGGAGCUAGCGUUGUUCGGAAUUACUGGGCGUAAAGCGCGCGUAGGCGGCUAUCCAAGUCAGGGGUGAAAUCCCGGGGCUCAACCCCGGAACUGCCCUUGAAACUGAUACUCUAGAGUCCGGAAGAGGGUCGCGGAAUUCCCAGUGUAGAGGUGAAAUUCGUAGAUAUUGGGAAGAACACCGGUGGCGAAGGCGGCGACCUGGUCCGGUACUGACGCUGAGGCGCGAAAGCGUGGGGAGCAAACAGGAUUAGAUACCCCCGUAGUCC
Molecule: ribosomal RNA, 424 nt
Filed under: uncultured prokaryote
Description: bacterial SSU rRNA
Rfam family: Bacterial small subunit ribosomal RNA
Source: RNAcentral